CCUACGGGAGGCAGCAGUAAGGAAUAUUGGUCAAUGGGCGCAAGCCUGAACCAGCCAUGCCGCGUGCAGGAAGACGGCCCUAUGGGUUGUAAACUGCUUUUGAACAAGAGAAAACCUCGGUACGUGUACCGAGCUGAUAGUAUUGUUAGAAUAAGCAUCGGCUAACUUCGUGCCAGCAGCCGCGGUAAGACGAAGGAUGCAAGCGUUAUCCGGAUUCAUUGGGUUUAAAGGGUGCGUAGGCGGCCUGAUAAGUCAGUGGUGAAAUCUCUCAGCUUAACUGAGAAACUGCCAUUGAUACUGUCGGGCUUGAGUACAGAUGAUGUGGGCGGAAUAUGACAUGUAGUGGUGAAAUACUUAGAUAUGUCAUAGAACACCGAUUGCGAAGGCAGCUCACAAAACUGUAACUGACGCUGAGGCACGAAAGUGGNGGAGUACAACAGAGUAGUAUACCUACGUACGUCGCCGACCGUAACGAACGUAGUAUUACUUCGUUGUUGGUACGAUAUAGACCGUCGACGCGACCGACGACGAACGACGAAGUAAGUAAGUUACCGUUACCGUACGGGGUUAGGGUUACCGGUACCGGCCGGACCGGUUACGGAACCGUUAACGAAACGGAAGUUAGGACGGACGGAGGAGACGCGACGACGGACGACGACGGAGGGAGGUUAGGAG
RNAcentral lists this ribosomal RNA (675 nucleotides) under uncultured bacterium. RNAcentral describes it as "bacterial SSU rRNA". The stretch from base 1 to 553 matches the Rfam family "Bacterial small subunit ribosomal RNA", at positions 338 to 873 of the family's 1533-position model. The record is from RNAcentral.